AUGAAGUGCGCAAACGCAGGAGAAACGCGAGGAGAAACAGAACGUCUGCCAAUAUUUUUUCUCUCUUUAGAUUCUUUCCGAACGCAUUGGACUGAAAGUCACUUGGUCUAUUUAUAUUGCAUCUAUGGUAUUGAAGGCUUGUGAACAUGCUGCAUGCUUUCCAGUUUCCAGUUCGGUACAGUUUGGUGUUAUGGUGAAGUGUAUUGAACAACAAAUGACAAAUAUGAAGAAAUGUUGUAAAAUAGUAUAAGGCCCGGUUAUUUUAAUUUCUUGGUAAACUUAUCUAUUAGAUAAACAUGUCUAUCUUUAUUUCUCCCUGAGUAAAUAAUGACAAAUAAUAGAUGCCUGUCCGGUAAAGUUUCCCAAUAAACUGGAGCAAUUGGACCUAAGUGUUAGAUUAUGUUAUGACUUAUUAUACAAUUGUGUUUAAUUAUCUUGAUUAUGUGCCUAUAAAAAUAUGCCUUUCAAAGCAUAACUUUUGAUGCAACUUAAACAUGAAGUAGUCGAGGAAAUUCUGUUCUAAGUGAUUGUUCUAAUUUAAGUGUUACUAUUUAUGCAUUCUUUAAAUACUAAAAGAUCGCAAGAUAUGUCAUAUAUAAACAAACGAAAAGGUGGAUAGUGUCUUAUGGAAAUUGCUAUAUUAAGGUUACUUAUGCGAGUCAGACUCUAUCUCAAAUUUGGGCAUUGUUUCAACCAUAUUAUUAAUUAUCCUAUUAAAAAAUUCUGAAAUGAUAUUAAAAGUUACGCAUAUUGACGAAAAGAAGAAAUAAAAUUAGAAAGUAUGAAAGUAUAAUUAGAAAAAUAUGAAUGUAAACGAAAAAAAGAAACAAUGAUAGAUUCAUAAAAGGAAAUUAUAGGAUAAUAUGGCAGUCGUGGAAAAUAAAAUUAUUGGGCCAACCGGUCUGAUACGAUAAAAAUAUCUUAACAAACAUCUUCAUCGUUAUUGUCAGUGACAUCAAAAUCGUCAUCGCUGUCGUUAUUGUCCUGGAAUUGUCAGAUCUACGCAACACGACGCAAUCUCUAUGUAUCAGCGAUUAUCAUUUUGUUGACUUACGUCGAAGUAAGGCAGUACACUAUCCAAAUUUGAAUGUUUGUUUGAUGAAUGAAUUAUAUUCAGAAUAUGAUCGAGUGAUCUGUCAAACGAUUUAUUUUGAAUUAAGCAGUUAAGUAGUUAAUUUCAUAAUCAUUAUCCGCAAUUGCAUCAGUAGCAACGUUUCUGUGAUAUGGCUGCCACAGCCAAACAUGAUUUACGUCGUAAGUUUUCUGCGGAUGCGUCCGCUUCUGGCGAGGAAGAUAUUGCCGCGAUUGCCAAACAGAUCAGCGAUCAUGCAGAGGCGAUUUAUCAAACGUGGAAAAGUCGCGGAUUAGCACCGACGGAGAUUCUAACUUGUCACAACAAUACAACUGCUGUUGACAAAUUUGGUAGUGCAUUGACACCUUCCAAUUUGUCUGCUCUCGGAAAUACCGUGACUGGAAAUAAAAUUGACGGCAAGACGUCGCCGUCGUUGUUGCCAUCACUCGAACAUUCUUCCCCAACGACAGUAAAUAUAUUAACUCAAACGCCUAAUCUGGACAAUGGCAAUCUUGAAAAAUUAGUCAACAAUUUUGUAGUAGAAGAUAAAGCUAGAAUAGCUGCUUCUAAACAAAAAUCACCAUCUAAGCCGUUACCGUCUUCCAUACAAUUUGUUCUACAAAAAUUUGAGAAAAACUCUAUGCAACAGCAGCAACAAACUACUGCAAAGAAUAAAGUAGUUCCCGAUAAUUCGAAAAAAUUGACAAGUGUCUUAUCAUCUACUUCAUCGUUUUUGAAUAAACCAUCACAAAUAAUAAAACCUCAAGUUCCUGCGAAGAUGCCCUCUUCUCAUCACUGUGAAGUCUUUCUGGAAACUAUUGAAACUACUUUUCCAAUCAACUUGAUAUCUUCCAAUAGCGUUACGCAGCAAAAAAGGCCCAUUAGUACGUUUAUGGCAUCAUCACCCAUUGAUUCUUUGUCAAAUAUUAACUUAUCGCCCUCGUCCAAUUCUGGUUUAACAACUUGGCCAUUGAAAAAUAAAUUAAACGACUCUAAAAAAAUCGCAGAUGUAUCUCGCAUAUCAGCUAAAACACUUCAGCAAAAAGAUAUUACGAAAACAUUGUUAGUGCAAGAUCAAAAGAGAUCAGUUGUGACCGACGUAAACUCGCGCUGUAUGUAUCUUGAUGAAGUUGCACGAGAAGAAGAAAGACUAAUAAAUGCUUUAAAAACAGGUGCUGUAAUUUCUGAAGAAUUAGAGGAAACAAUGGAGGCGUGUUUGUGCAAUAGACAGAAACCGACUAUUAAGCAAGAAAAAUUAAAAAUUGAACCAGUCAAACAAGUUAUUAGUAAAAGCCAUAAUUAUUAUGGAAAUAGUUCUACAAUAUCUAACUCAGAAACUUCUAAUUCUAUGACAAACGUAAUUAAUGCUAGCAAUCCCACCGCUGUUACUGAUCAUAAUGCGAAAUCACUCAGUAAGGAUGAUUUGUCCGCUAUGUCAGCAGUUGACUAUGCUAAGGUUAGAUAUCAGGCUGCUCAACAGAACCCACCUACUCAGCAGCGACUUGAGGAACAGCGAGCUUCUAAUAAUUUAUACAAUUCCACCACAGAACAAUUGGUUUCUAGUACGCGAACAAAAUUUGAAAUGGAGAUACGACAGAAUAAAAACACUAAGGAUUCGGACAAAGAUUCAGUAACAUCAAGGUGGGGACCAAGAAUUGCUUCCUCACGACCGCGACUAGAACAGACUGUGCCUCAUCCAGAAUUGACUAAUCAACAAAAGCAGCACAUAAGAACAGCCGUGGUAACAGGUACGGGUAGUAAUCCCGUCAGACCCUUCCUUACUAGAGGCUCCGUGGCAGAACGUGUACUCAUUUUCGAAAAAUGUCCGAGCGAGCUGCUGUUAGACAAACGUUGUUUACGACCACCGACGAUUAAUACAUGGAGGGAUGGCCAUGAGGUGCAAAAUAAAGCUCAGACUUAUUCGAAAGAGAAAACACAGCAGAAAAGUUUGCCAUUGCAUACAACUUUACAAAGGCAGGUGAAAGCUAAUAGAAAUGUUCAUAUACCGAGAUUUUAUUUUCCAGGAGGGAAACCGCUGCCUGUUUCACAAUUAGAAACAAUUGUUUCAAAUAUUACUGUGGCUUUUCAAAGUUUACCGAGUUGUUGUGUUUCUCGUGCACAAUUUCAUAUUAUCACGAAGGCUUGCGACUUACCCUUGUAUUGGAAAAUACCACUUUUUCUGGCAGCAGGCGGUGAUCAAAAAGGAUUUGUCGAGAUGAAUGUUUUUCUAGAGUUUUGGAAAGAAUUAACAGCUACCCAUUACGAUGCAGCUAGUAAAUUCAUCAAUAUUCUUACUCGGGGUCUUCGAGACAAUAUACUUCCGGAAGACUUAAUUCCACUCGUACAGGAUGUUGUAGAAACGCAUCCAGGAUUGACAUUUUUAAAAGAAGCCACAGAAUUUCAUUCACGUUAUGUACACACGGUGAUUGCUAGAGUAUUUUAUUGCGUGAAUCGAAGUUGGAGUGGUAAAAUUUCAAUUGCCGAAUUAAGAAGAAGUAAUUUAUUGGCAAUAAUUGCUAUGCUCGAACACGAGGAAGACAUUAAUCAAAUCACAGCGUACUUCAGCUAUGAACAUUUUUAUGUGAUAUACUGCAAGUUUUGGGAAUUAGAUCGUGACCAUGAUCUUUUUAUAGAUAAAGAAGACUUAAUGAGACAUAAUGAUCAUGCAUUAUCUACUCGAAUGAUUGAAAGAAUAUUUAGCGGUGCCGUGACAAGAGGAAGUCGAGCAAAAAAUAAUAACAAUGUACAACAGCUGGAAGACAAGAUGAGUUACACGGAAUUUGUAUGGUUUCUUCUUAGCGAAGAAGACAAGAAUCAUCCAACUGCUAUUGAAUAUUGGUUUAGGUGUAUGGAUCUUGAUGGCGAUGGUUAUUUAUCAAUGUAUGAACUAGAAUACUUCUAUGAAGAGCAAUUACGUCGAAUGGAAGCGAUUGGUCUGGAAACAUUGCCUUUCGAGGAUUGUCUUUGUCAGAUGUUAGAUAUGAUUCAUCCAAUGAUAUCUGGCAAGAUAUCGUUAAAUGAUUUAAAAAAAUGCAAAAUGACAUCUAUCUUCUUUGAUACUUUCUUUAAUCUGGAAAAAUAUCUGGAUCAUGAACAAAGAGAUCCAUUUGCUUCAGCAAGAGAUCACGAUGCUGAUGGUCACGAACUCUCGGAUUGGGAUCGAUUUGCAGCAGAAGAAUAUGAAUUAUUAGUUGCUGAAGAAAGUGGCAAUGAACAACAAGAGCAAAUGCUGUGUGAUGAUGAAAUAUAACCAUCAUCUACAGCUCACUCUUGGAGCAAGUUGUUACGUUUGUAACAAAUCCCACUGCAUUGCUAAACACCCACCGCCAACAAUCCGACCGUCCAUCCGUCGGGCCAGGAAUAUGGGCAUCGGCCUGCUAUAGACUCCCCGAUUUGCGCUCGUUCAGCAUCCCGGUCGGCGGGAUGCCGGGAUCGAUAUCCGAAAGCAUCUGGGGAAACCAAAGCCCAUCGGAGGAGAUAUAAAAGGGCGAGAUCCGACGAGAAUCUUUCUCUUUUGAUCCGAUCGUUAAACCAUUCCGCUGGCUGUCGGUUCCUAGAAAGAGCUCCUCGAAACGGACACAAGCCAUGUGCAUUAAUGGAUUAAUGUAUAAAUCACAUAUUUUUGUGAUUUACAAAAAAACCUGACGUGUGCAGCAAAACGGGCAACAAAUCGAAUUCAGCACCUCAAGACCUAUAUAGAGGACUUUCUCUGGUUCUUGUAAAUUAGUAUUUUGUGGUCUGUGUUAUUGAUAGCAAAGAAGUCAAAAGCUCCAAAAUCUAUGAUUUCGGAGCUUUCGACAUUGAAGUUGUACAAAAAAAUACAGAAUAGUUAUAACAAUAAAUGUUUAUAAACGUGUAUAAAAAAGUACACAGUA
RNAcentral lists this unclassified non-coding RNA (4947 nucleotides) under Monomorium pharaonis (pharaoh ant). RNAcentral's name for it is "serine/threonine-protein phosphatase 2A regulatory subunit B'' subunit alpha, transcript variant X7". Lineage: Eukaryota; Metazoa; Arthropoda; Insecta; Hymenoptera; Formicidae. The record is from RNAcentral.